UUGGGCUAUGGCAGUGGUUCCCAGCCUUGGGUAACCCAGGUGUGCUUGGACUGCAUUUCCCGGAAGCCUUCACCACUGGUUGUGCUGGCAGGAAUUUCUGGGAGUUGCAGUCCAAGAAUAUCUGGGUUGCCCAAAGUGGGAACUCCUGAACUAUGAUAGCUGUUAUCCCUCCUUAGGGAUGAUGGGCACUGCAGCCCAACUCGUCCGCAGGGCACCGGGCUGAAGAAGACUCAACUGCAGAAAUGAUGGGAAAACGAACAAAAUUGUUCCCGGGCUGUACCAUCACAACACACAAGUGACAACAAUGCUGACUGCAUGUUUGAAUAAGAGGCCAUGGGCGCCUCCCACCUGCUCAGCCUUGAUCCAAUUUCAUAGAACAUGGCCCCUGCAUUCCUACAGAACCAUGGCUUGGUUUUGUUAUAAAGACACCUGAAUAAACAGGCAAUGCAACCAGAACUCAAAAAAUACGUUGGCUAAAAUGGAUUUGGAAUAGACAGAAGCCUCUUGCAACAGAACCAGUACUCUUGAGCCAUCACAGCC
RNAcentral lists this long non-coding RNA (540 nucleotides) under Pogona vitticeps (central bearded dragon). RNAcentral describes it as "lncRNA (ENSPVIG00000007924.1)". Lineage: Eukaryota; Metazoa; Chordata; Lepidosauria; Squamata; Agamidae. The record is from RNAcentral.